RNAcentral lists this ribosomal RNA (265 nucleotides) under uncultured prokaryote. RNAcentral describes it as "partial 16S ribosomal RNA". It matches the Rfam family "Bacterial small subunit ribosomal RNA", at positions 524 to 788 of the family's 1533-position model. The record is from RNAcentral.
UACGUAGGUGGCAAGCGUUGUCCGGAUUUAUUGGGCGUAAAGCGAGCGCAGGCGGUUCCUUAAGUCUGAUAUGAAAGCCCACGGCUUAACCGUGGAGGGUCAUUGGAAACUGGAGGACUUGAGUACAGAAGAGGAGAGUGGAAUUCCACGUGUAGCGGUGAAAUGCGUAGAGAUGUGGAGGAACACCAGUGGCGAAGGCGACUCUCUGGUCUGUAACUGACGCUGAGGUGCCAAAGCGUGGGUAGCGAACAGGAUUAGAUACCCU